Molecule: ribosomal RNA, 391 nt
Filed under: uncultured bacterium
Lineage: Bacteria
Description: bacterial SSU rRNA
Rfam family: Bacterial small subunit ribosomal RNA
Source: RNAcentral
GACGAACGCUGGCGGCGUGCUUAACACAUGCAAGUCGUGCGGAAAGGCCCCUUUGGGGUGCUCGAGCGGCGAACGGGUGAGUAACACGUGAGUGAUCUGCCCUGCACUUUGGGAUAACUGCCGGAAACGGUGGCUAAUACUGGAUAGGACUGCAUCCUGCAUGGGUGUGGUGGAAAAGCCUUUGGGUGGUGUGGGAUGUGCUCGCGGCCUAUCAGCUUGAUGGUGGGGUAGUGGCCUACCAUGGCUUUGACGGGUAGCCGGCCUGAGAGGGUGACCGGUCACACUGGGACUGAGACACGGCCCAGACUCCUGCGGGAGGCAGCAGUGGGGAAUAUUGGACAAUGGGCGGAAGCCUGAUCCAGCAACGCCGCGUGAGGGAUGACGGCCUCGG